CCCUCUUUUUAUGUUUAUUUACUGAAAGAUGGACAAGGAUUUCAGAAAUCAAAUCAGAAGCAAAAUUUGGAUGAUGUUCUUUUCACAAUAUCUAAUGUUCAUCUUGAUCACAGUGGAAAUUACAGCUGCUUGUACUCCACUACAAAUUACAACCCUUCUGAUGUAGAAAGGAAAGGACAGGAUGUUGCUGAGACUCUGGUUAUACCCAAUUUCAUCCCAGCAGAGCUCUCCAUAGCUGGACCCUUCACAGUUAAUGAGGGAAGCAACGUUGAGUUUAAAUGCACCUUUUCAGAAAUCCUGCACACUCUCAAUAACUGUCAACUCAUCUACUGCUACCUGAAGAAGAAUGAGACCAUCCUUCAAGUACAAGUAUUUGAUCUUGCUCAGAUGGAAGCCUCUUUCACCAUUGAAGGUGCUGUUUCAAGGGAUUCAGGUCCAUAUAGUUGCCUUUUGCUGCCGUCAAAAUGCUUCCAGAAACAAUGGAAUGAGCUUCAGGGAAUAAAUACGGUGAUUCUGGAGGUCAAAGAGGAUUUGAUCCCAUGGGCGGCUUUGUCUUGUGGAAUUACAUUCCUUAUUUUGCUUUUCAUUCUGUGUCUGGGAUUGAUGAUUUACAAAAGUUGCUUCAAAGCUUUGUACAAGCCAUGGUGAGUCUUCGUUUAACUGCACUUCCUGUUGGCAGACGGGAGAAAUUAACAGACAGUGAUCGAAUACAAAGUAAAUGUAAUACAUAAGGAAGAAUUUGCUUUCUGUUUGAAUUAUGUAUUUUCUAAUUUUGAUAGUGAGCAGCAGAAUACAGAUGUGUUGGCA
Molecule: long non-coding RNA, 807 nt
Organism: Poecilia latipinna (sailfin molly)
Lineage: Eukaryota; Metazoa; Chordata; Actinopteri; Cyprinodontiformes; Poeciliidae
Exons: 3
Source: RefSeq, a predicted model, not a curated record